AAAUGUGUUCUGUUUCCCCAGGAAGCCAGCGGGAAAUACAACAAAAUGCCUCUCCCUCUCCUUUAGCAAAACACGUGUCAGAGCAAUGCAAGAUUUGACUGGGACUGCUUUACUUCGUUAACAAGCAGCAGUAGGACUGACUGGAGCCAUUGUACAGUGUCGGGAACACACCAGGACACUGAGAAUAGCGUCAUGUCAUAAGAACUCAGAGCAGAUGGACCCUGCUGUGAUGCACAAAGAGGACUAUGCAAGAUAUGAUAAAGAUCUAUGUCACUGAAUUUUUGGUUCUAUAUUUGUAUCUCAGCUUCCUGGAAAUAAAAAAGAAUUCUAACAUUCAUACUUUCAGUAUUUUAUGUGAGAGGUUUUGUUGUCAAAAUCAAGUCUGAGAGCAAUGUUUAUUGGGGCCUUUAAUUGGAGUCACCAAGCGAUAAAGGGGACAUUGUCUUCAACAAUAACCCUAUA
Molecule: long non-coding RNA, 462 nt
Organism: Pongo pygmaeus (Bornean orangutan)
Lineage: Eukaryota; Metazoa; Chordata; Mammalia; Primates; Hominidae
Exons: 3
Source: RefSeq, a predicted model, not a curated record